Molecule: ribosomal RNA, 492 nt
Filed under: uncultured bacterium
Lineage: Bacteria
Description: partial 16S ribosomal RNA
Rfam family: Bacterial small subunit ribosomal RNA
Source: RNAcentral
GGUGAACGCUGGCGGUAGGCCUAACACAUGCAAGUCGAACGGCAGCACAGUAAGAGCUUGCUCUUACGGGUGGCGAGUGGCGGACGGGUGAGGAAUACAUCGGAAUCUACUUUUUCGUGGGGGAUAACGUAGGGAAACUUACGCUAAUACCGCAUACGACCUACGGGUGAAAGCAGGGGAUCUUCGGACCUUGCGCGAUUGAAUGAGCCGAUGUCGGAUUAGCUAGUUGGCGGGGUAAAGGCCCACCAAGGCGACGAUCCGUAGCUGGUCUGAGAGGAUGAUCGGCCGCACUGGAAGUGAGACACGGUCCAGACUCCUGCGGGAGGCAGCAGUGGGGAAUAUUGGACAAUGGGCGCAAGCCUGAUCCAGCCAUACCGCGUGGGUUAAGAAGGCCUUCGGGUUGUAAAGCCCUUUUGUUGGGAAAGAAAAGCAGCAGGUUAAUACCCCGCUGUUCUGACGGUACCCAAAGAAUAAGCACCGGCUAACUUCGUG